This 331-nucleotide ribosomal RNA is filed under the name uncultured eukaryote. Its description in RNAcentral is "partial 18S ribosomal RNA". It matches the Rfam family "Eukaryotic small subunit ribosomal RNA", at positions 1470 to 1796 of the family's 1831-position model. The record is from RNAcentral.
CCCUUAGAUGUUCUGGGCCGCACGCGCGCUACACUGACGAAGUCAGCGAGCAUGUCCUACGCCGACAGGUGCGGGGAAUCUUGUCAAACUUCGUCGUGAUGGGGAUUGAUUAUUGAAAUUCUUGAUCAUCAACGAGGAAUUCCUAGUAAGCGCAAGUCAGCAGCUUGCGUUGAUUACGUCCCUGCCCUUUGUACACACCGCCCGUCGCUACUACCGAUUGAAUGGUUUAGUGAGAUCUUCGGAUUGGCGCCACUGCGGCUCAGCAAUGGGCUCGGUGGAUGCCGAAAAGUUGAUCAAACUUGAUCAUUUAGAGGAAGUAAAAGUCAUAACA